This 459-nucleotide ribosomal RNA is filed under the name uncultured bacterium. RNAcentral describes it as "partial 16S ribosomal RNA". It matches the Rfam family "Bacterial small subunit ribosomal RNA", at positions 338 to 795 of the family's 1533-position model. The record is from RNAcentral.
CCUACGGGCGGCAGCAGUGAGGAAUAUUGGUCAAUGGCCGAGAGGCUGAACCAGCCAAGUCGCGUGAGGGAAGACGGCCCUACGGGUUGUAAACCUCUUUUGUCGGGGAGCAAAGCGAGUCACGUGUGACUCAUUGAGAGUACCCGACGAAAAAGCAUCGGCUAACUCCGUGCCAGCAGCCGCGGUAAUACGGAGGAUGCGAGCGUUAUCCGGAUUUAUUGGGUUGAAAGGGUGCGCAGGCGGAGGUGCAAGUCAGCGGUCAAAUUGCGGGGCUCAACCCCGUACUGCCGUUGAAACUGCAGCCCUUGAGUGCGCGAGAAGUAGGCGGAAUGCGUGGUGUAGCGGUGAAAUGCAUAGAUAUCACGCAGAACUCCGAUUGCGAAGGCAGCAUACCGGCGCGCAACUGACGCUCAUGCACGAAAGCGUGGGUAUCGAACAGGAUUAGAUACCCUAGUAGUC